Molecule: ribosomal RNA, 425 nt
Filed under: uncultured bacterium
Lineage: Bacteria
Description: partial 16S ribosomal RNA
Rfam family: Bacterial small subunit ribosomal RNA
Source: RNAcentral
GUGGGGAAUCUUGCGCAAUGGGCGAAAGCCUGACCCAGCCAUGCCGCGUGAAUGAUGAAGGUCUUAGGAUUGUAAAAUUCUUUCACCGGGGACGAUAAUGACGGUACCCGGAGAAGAAGCUCCGGCUAACUUCGUGCCAGCAGCCGCGGUAAUACGAAGGGGGCUAGCGUUGCUCGGAAUUACUGGGCGUAAAGGGCGCGUAGGCGGACAGCUUAGUCAGAGGUGAAAGCCCAGGGCUCAACCUUGGAAUUGCCUUUGAUACUGGCUGUCUUGAGUUUGGGAGAGGUGAGUGGAACUCCGAGUGUAGAGGUGAAAUUCGUAGAUAUUCGGAAGAACACCAGUGGCGAAGGCGACUCACUGGCCCAAUACUGACGCUGAGGCGCGAAAGCGUGGGGAGCAAACAGGAUUAGAAACCCCGGUAGUCC